This 324-nucleotide unclassified non-coding RNA is filed under the name fungal sp. RNAcentral's name for it is "partial internal transcribed spacer region". The stretch from base 1 to 46 matches the Rfam family "Eukaryotic small subunit ribosomal RNA", at positions 1786 to 1831 of the family's 1831-position model. The record is from RNAcentral. Lineage: Eukaryota; Fungi.
AAGUCGUAGCAAGGUUUCCGUAGGUGAACCUGCGGAAGGAUCAUUAACACGUAUCCAAACGUUAAAACCCCCCCGUAAAAGUCGUAACAAGGUUUCCGUAGGUGAACCUGCGGAAGGAUCAUUAUAGUAUAUGGAAUCUCCAUUCUAUAAACCCACUCUGCGUAUCUUGUAACUGUUGCUUCCAUGGGACUUGGUUCCGCCACACCGGCUUCACGGCUGGUGAGCGCCCAUGGAAGGAGAAACAAAACUCUUCUUUGAAAUGUAGUCAGUCUGAACAAGUUUUUAUAAACGUUAAAACUUUCAACAACGGAUCUCUUGGUUCUC